Molecule: long non-coding RNA, 219 nt
Filed under: Lathyrus oleraceus (garden pea)
Lineage: Eukaryota; Viridiplantae; Streptophyta; Magnoliopsida; Fabales; Fabaceae
Description: Pisum sativum (pea) long non-coding RNA (PSAT_LNC028208)
Source: RNAcentral
AAGUAUAAUAUCAACAAGUUAAUAAAGGGUUAGUUAUGGUAUAAAAUGAGUAUAAAGUGUUAGGGGGUUAAUCUAAACCAAGAGGAAAAAUAGUGUAUCAGAUGAAUCCAUAACUUAACAAAUGCAAGGCCUCAUCUACAUGUCCAAUGACCUAGGUUGGUUGGUGUAGGGGAAACCUAUCCAUGAUUCAAAGUACCAUGGAUGAACAUUUGAUCAUCC